AUACAGUGUUCUUUCUGUUCCUUUUUGAGCAUUCAUGAGACUCAUUUGGCACAAACUUUGUGGUAUUUCAGUGUUGCCACCAUCAUUUCCAAUGCAUUGAAGCUGAAAUUCAGCUCCAUACAUAUUUCCCUGAUUGUAAUCCACCAAUUUGCUUAAUGUGCACUCCCGUAUGAGACACCAUUUUGUCAGACUGUCCCUCUGCUGUCAUCUGUCACACAACAACAGAGUUUAAUAGAAUAUUUAUGGGAAGGUUCAACCUCUCCUGCCAUACCACCAACAUCUGCCACUUAUGUCACGGGCCAUUAUAAAAUAGGAGGUAUUACUUUCAGAGCAGCCCUGGUAUAUGUACUGUACUGGGAGUAGGUAUUUCUUCUUUUGAAAGGCUGUGGAGAUACCAAACGUAAUAGUACAGUGCUGUAGCAGAAAUGCUAAGUCAGGGUCUGAAGUGGUGAUUGAGCACCUGGUGGGAAGGCAGGGCCAAGCCAGCGGAGCACAGCUGCAAGCAAUACACCUGAGUGACCGGAAGGGGUGGAACCAGGUUCCCAGACCUCAUUUAAGGGUUGGCAAUGGAGGUGAGGAUAUUUCUUGCUGGAGCUCCUUGCUUUCUUGAGGUCUUCUAAAGGAGGCAUCAAAAAAUAAAGAAGAGCUCAUGCCAUCUUUUGCUUUUAUUGCUGCAUAUCGUUCGUGUUCUGGAUGACAGCACAGAUUUAAGAAGGAACUUCAUACCACGGUGUGUUUUUCUCUGAAGUGCAAAAAAAUGAGUUUUGCACCCUCCAGCUCUUCAAGGUUGCAAGCAAACCUCCAGCAAGAACAGAACUUCUGCCUGGAACCCAACAUCUUUCACCAUUUUCCACUCUACAUGCCCUGUGGACUGAGCCUUCUCUAAGCUAUUUCCAGAGACAAGCAGCAAGUCUUGUCACAGGCUGUUCUCAUUGAGGUGAGCGUCACUUGAGGAGGAAAGGCACUGCAAACCAAGAUCUUCAUCUAAGCACAAGAUCUAGAUUUAACAGAAUGGAGGGUUAUUAUCAUUACAGCUACAGGAGAUGGACACUGUCUAAUUAAUAGGUAAGUCCCUUUCUUCAUUUACGACCACAUCAAAGGUCACAUUUCAGCUCCUUUUGCUCUUAUCUUGGAAUAGAAAAGGUUGAUUCAUACUCACCAAAGAGCAGGAUUUUCACUUAGAAAACAAUCUAACAACACGUUUAUUCACAAGUUUUCUACAGAUUAAUUGAACUGACAUGUUACAGUCUAGACCCACUUACUUCUACCAGAAAUAAUAACACUUCAGGCUAAUAUUACAUAUAGUAAUACCCCAGACCGUUAAUAAGCAUCACCUAAGAGAAAGCUCACCUUCAGGCUGAAUCCCAAACUGUGAUUUUCCUCUUUAUUAAUUAGCUUUUCCAAGUUAAACAAGGUCAGUACAUCUCCUUUUUGUCUCUCACUUGCCUGCCCCUAUAAUCUCCUUAUGUUUUGUUUCUUUUCUGAGCUACCAUCUCUUCCACACUGACAAAGACAUACAGUUUAUAUGGCUUCAGCCCCCUGUGGAAUCAUCUUCUUUUUCUUGCUGUGGCAAGAAAAGAUUAUUUAUUUCUGUUGGUUGCAAAGAUAUGUAUGAGAAGGAAAGACCUGGCUCUAUGACUAACCAAAAUUAAAAGUGCAGAAAGCUCAGCAAUAAUCUCUUUCCCAAAGUAGAAAGGAAUUUAUGAGAUGGAACUUGACCAUAUCUCUCAGUUGAGUGCCUGAUUCAGACCUUGGUCAAAAUUCCAGGUUUGAGAAGAACUGGGGAAGAGAAAGGUCAGAGCAUAUCCCCAGAACAAAAUAAUUUAGAUACAUUGAAAUUAAGGUCUCUCAUUACCAAAGGUCCAUAUACUUUUAGCUGGGCAAGGAACAUCAGCAUAAUUCACUUUUCCCAUCACGGAACGUAAUCUGACCUUUAGCCCAGCCUAUUAAGAAGAAUAGGAAGCCAUCUGCGUACCCCCAUUACAACUCCUGUGGCAAUACAACAGCAUUCCAUGUUGUGACAGUUUGAUGGUUCAGCCGAGGUAGUUUCCUCUACAGUGAUUUGAUUUCCAUAGGAGGAAAAGAAAGCAUGCCUCGAGAUUUCUGUCUCCAAAUUCCUUCCUCACACACACUCUCUGGGCAGUUCAAGCAUCUAUUAUAAAAUCAGAUUCACAAAAUUACCUCAAUUUUCUUAACAUUCUUCAUCCUUGGAUCUUAUCUUUGACAACUGAAAUUAAUCUGAGAAUUCUGUAAAACCUAUGUUUUAGUGUAGUUGUGAUGUACAGUGUUACUAAUGCAAUGUUAUGCUUUUCUCUUUGAAUCAUAACCACAUCAGUUGUCCAGCAUAAAUAGAGCAAUAUACAUGUGCCCUUCAUGUGUUCUUUGCAUAUAAGCAAGAAAAAUCCCAGGAAAUCUACCAAAUACAAGUAUGCAAACCAAAACAAAUGUGUCAUCACAACUUGCCAGGAGGCAUGCUCAUCUCCUUCGUAACACCACUCCUCAGUGUAUAGCCUCAGUGAGAAGUUAAAUUAGCAGAAGCUUUACCAUUUCUACUCUUAAAAUCCUUAAUGAGGGGUCAUGUGAAUUUUGAUGAAGGUCAGAGUAUUGUGGAUCUUCAUAUUGUAGAAAAAACACGAAAGAGGAGAAAAAAAAAGAGAAAAAAAAAGAGAAAAAAGAAGAGAAAGAAAGAAAAAAAAAGAAGAAAUUACAGCUGCUGUUUUUUCACAUCCUUCCUAAAAUAUAUGCAGGUUGUAUAUGAAAUCUAGAAAGGCCUUUUGCCUCAAAAGUAAAAUCUAAAAGCCAUUAAAAAUAAUGCAAAUCAUCAGACUAAACAGAAAACCGAAAUCAAUCUUUCUAUUCACUGUUUGAUUUGCCUCUCCUCCAGUCCAGAAGCCCAACUCGCAGGAUGUGGUUUUGUUUUUGUUUAACAUUAAAUGCUUCUCUUAUUUUUCUUUAGCAUACAAGGGGGGAAAGUAUCCAAAGAGGAACAGUUAAAGUAAAAACAUUCAUAUUUCAGUGUUUUUUCUCUAUGUGAUAUGAAGGGUGCUGUGAAAACAGACCAUAACACAGAGCUGAAAGGGGAAUUCAGCCAAAACAUCGCCUGCCCAUGUCUCUCACCUGCCCACUGCCUGGGGCAUCAGCAUGCAUGGCACCACCAUACAGUAACUCCAGUUCAGUGGGAUAAAGGAGAAGUAUAUCAUGGAUAUGUCUUAGGAAGAUAAUUGCUAAUCAGACAUCUCUUGCCUGUUGCCAUUUUCACCUAGUGAAUAAGGAUCCUUAUCACAUGACGGUAAUGCCUCUCUGUGAGGUGUGUGAUGUGGCAUUAGAGCAGGAGAACUUGUUCCUGAGAACCUUUGCUAGAAGAAGAUUUAGGGUGAUAUUCGUCCAAACUGACAAGAAGAGAUAGAUGUUCAAGGCACUGCAGUGGUGAGAAAGGCCUUCAAGAAUCACUGCACCUGUUGUGCACAUGUAUGUAUUUAAUUCUUCCUGCUUCCUCCUGGUGAUUUUCAGCCUUAGUCUACCUACAGCCAAAAUGAACAUUUUCAUCCUCCUGCAACUACUCACAAAAAUGAGGGAAAGGGAAUUUGCUUUUCUGAACAGCUGUAUUGGCUGUAUACAUGCCAAGCAACCUGCAAGUAGACAGAAGUACGAAAUGUAAGGAAGUAAGAAAGCAAGCAAAACGAACAACUUGAAUGAAUGCCACCUUUGUUCUUUUUUAAAUGCAUGUGAAGUCCUAACUCCAGUUUCACAACAUUCUGACAUAAGUAGUUUGCAUAAAGAAAACAGAAAGAAGGAAAUUUUGAGGCAGCCUAUUAACUUCUAAAGGUAAGGAUUGGACCUCACAAAGAAGGACACUUUCUCCUACUUGGCUUUAAUCUACAAGAAAAAAAAACUCCCGAAGAGGAAACUUUGCCACGGGAACAUUCAAUUUUCAAGUCCUUGAGGGGCACAAAGCUUGUAGUAUUGUGCAAUCAGAAGUGCUGGAGUGAACAAAAUGUUAUUUGUGAUCAAGAAGCUUUGGUUUAGAUCAUAUCCUAAUACAGUCUCAAAAGGUGUGCCCAUGGCUGGCACUCAGGAUGAAGGUUAGCACACAGCAAACAACAUCACUCAUUGUGGUCACCAUCUCUGUAUUGUUGCUCUAUUUGUCUCAGGUUUCUCUUCUGAUUGAUAACCAAUGAGAAAUAAGUACAACCUAGAUUCACAUUUUGAAACAAGCACAGGGAAAAACAAACUUAGGGGAAAAUCUACUGCUGUUUCAAAAGAAUUAGCUUGGGCCUGGCGAAACCUCUGAGCUGAUGCAAAUUAUUGCAAUAUCUGCCCUAAGCCAGUCCUGGUGAGCUCUACGACAUACUGUGCUCUUACAGACUUCUCUGGGUUUUUCAGAAGACAGAAGCAGACAAAGUAGACAGCUUGUACAUGGACACUUCUGUUCUGUGAUUUACUUUAUACCCUUUUGCUCAUGCUCAUGAUGCAGUUUCACCUCAGCUAUCAAAGGAGCAAGGCUCUUCCUGGGAAGAUCUUCCUUACGUCAGACCAUCACAGCCUGAGCUCAGUUGUGAAGGCUCAAGUGCCAGUGUGUUUGGGCCGUGUGAUACAUGCAACUUCUUCGUGUGAAGUCAAGCAGGAAAAUCAAGAAGAGAUGGUAUCGUGAUCUCAGGGGCUUGUCUGAGAUGGUAAUGCCAAAGAUUUUAGAGGAAGUUACUCAAUCUGACCCAAAGUGUCUUAAAGCUACUCGUAUAAUUGAAUGGAUCUCCCUUGAGCAGAUGCCUCAGGAGCCCUUUCCAUAGCCAAUAAGAAGGCUAUAGCUGAGAGAAGUAAUUGGAUGUCACAACAAUCAAAAUUCAUGAUUAUCUUGAAACCUCUCAGGAAUUGGGGCAGCCAGUAUCACUUUAAAUACUCCUACAAUAGAUUCAAAUUAUGCCAUCCUGAGCUAGUAUCAUGGUCCUACCCUCUAAGGCAUAUCAUGCUGCUGCAUGACCUAGGCAGUGGCUGAUCUCUCUUCUGAGUCAGCUGAAUGCUAAUUAUAUUCUAUUAUAUUUUAAAGAAAAACCCAAGAGUGAAGUUACACAAGGUCAGUUCUUUGCAGGCAGUAACCUCCGCAAAGGAAGCAAAAAGGGACUCGAACAAAGGCUGCUGUUAUGCCAUACCAACCCACAGGGAUGUCCAGGUGCAGGAGGGAGCACAUUGUGUAAACAAAGCAGUGUUGUGCCCCUCUUCAGCACAGUUCUCCAGAACUGCAAAAUUACCCAGAGCCGCAGGGCUCUAGAUGAGUGACUUACUAAAGGUAAAACAGGUCGAGACAGAACCCUGAUCUCUCCUCUUCUAAGAUUUAGCUCUUGAACCUGAACCAAACCAUACCAAAGUUAAAGGAGAAUUCCUAUUUCUUGUAGUGAUUUUCAGAGAAAGUCCUCAAACCUCAGGGCUACCUGAUAGGAAGAUGUGGGUGCCUUGCAGUAUGAAACCUUGAGCUGCAUGGGAUUUACCUGAGUAGGAAGAAAGAGUGUUCCCACUCCUGAUUCUGUAGAUAUAAAUCUCAUUCACCCACUGCUGGUUUUAUGCACAAUCGCUCCUCAGUGGCUCAAGCAGAACAAUGCAGCUGGCAAUAGAUUUCAUUUUAUAUCUUGCUUGGAAAAAAAAACAUAUGCAAGAACAUCUGGAGAGCAUGCCCUCCUCCCCCUGGACAUAAAAGAAUGACAGAGAUGGUGGCAGAACUGCUCAGAGGCUUGGCAGCACCCCACAGAAUAUCUCAUGUUGUCACACUCAUUUGUCACACUGAGCAACUGGAUUCUUUCUCAGUAGGCUACAUAGGACAGCAACUGUAAUAUCCUGGCACUUGUAGUGAAAUAUACACUAAAAGCUGAGGGCACUCAGUACAGAGAAGUCUCCACCUAUUUCUGGCAAUCACCUUCAAUACUGUGCAACAACUGCAUUCAAAGCACCUUUGUGCCUGAGCACUCCCUACACACAAGCAGGAAUAAGAUAGCGGAAAAAGAAUCCACUUUCUUCAUCCUCUCCGUAUAUUAUUGGCUUGACUAUAUUUCUGUGUAGUAAGAGUUGUUCCCCACAGUCUCAAAGACACUUAAAAGCCAACUGCUGCAAGCCCAUUCCUUCCCUCCCCCAACACCUCCUCCCAGGGGCUACACUACACUCUCCUGCUUGGUUUUCUCUAGCUCCGUUAUGAAGAUUUCAAGCAAUAAAAAGAAAUUGUGUUGAUAUACUGCAUACUGAAGCUUCAGACCUUUUCUUCAGCAAUUACAGCCUGCAAUGCCAUCAAAGACUACUCCCAUCUCCAAACUUGUGUUACUGGAGCAUGGAAAUAAUUGGCUACAAAGAUUCCUCUUGGGGAUACUGAGCAGAGAUGUGCAACGCCUUGGAAAAAAAAGGUUCCUUACGAUGCUGUCAGACAAAUAUCUCAUUACUUCUUUACCUCUGACUUUUUGGGAGUGUAUGGCUUAGCUCCAAAUGAAAGAGCAGAUUUAUUUUUAAAGCAUGCAACAUUAGUGUGCACUGAAAUAAACUCACCAGAACAAUCAGUGCUCUUGUUUCAGGGAACGCGCUCGCAAAUGGAACAAGAGGUGCUGAUAUGACUUACUGCCAGGCUCCACACACUGAAAGGAUCCUAGCUGGAUUUACACAUGCAGUGUGCAGCAUCCAGCAUUCAAAAUAGUUGGUCAGCAUUUGCCUUUGGAAAUGUUUUUCAUCACAGCACUCCGCUGAUGUGUUCUUUCUGUCUAGAUUCCCCAGUUUGGGUCUGACAAACAAGCACAGUGCUUCCAUUUGCUUGUUUCAUUUUCUUUAAAAAUAACGUUCACAUGAAUCUGAAAAAUCUUCCUAUUAAAUAUGUAUAUACACUUCUCAGCUUGACAGAAAAAUAAUCAGUCCCAUUAAAAUCUACAUUGUGUGUCCUAUGCUGACAUAUUUGAAAGGCAGAACUAAAAUGGUUAUUGGAAAAUGCAGAUGCGUUGCAUUCGUGAACAUAUCCUUUUUCCUUUAAGUUUUGUGGAAGUUUUCCCUAUAGAUCCACCCUUUUUAAAUUCUGCCUAGAAAAAAAAAAGACAACAACAAAAACAUCUGCUGAGCAUUGAGAAAAAUGUCGACAAACCCCAAAAUUGCUGUGUGACAGACUUGAUAGCAAGACUGAUAACAAGAAAUGUGUGCAGGAACAUUAGCUACCUGGCAACUAUGUCAAAGGCCUGACUGAAGACAACUCAUAGCAGGAAUCUUCAAAGGCUCUGCAGGAUACAAGACAGCUGCUGGAAGACAAGGAGGAUAUACACUCCAGCUCCUUUUCAAUCUGUUUUUCUUCUGCUUUGAAUUUGAAUCAGGACAUGAAUUGGAAUAGCAACUAUUAGGACAGUUUGGCAUUUCUAAGGAAAAAUUUCCAAUGAAGUAAGCCACCUCAGUUUUAUUGACAGUAGUGGAGAUAAGCUAGUUGUAUUCUUGAACUUGGGUUGGAGGCAACAGACCAGGUACCUGCUCUGGUAGUGCUCACAAAGACCAGAGCUCUCCUCUUAAAUCUUGUAUGUAAAAUCCUAAGGCAUGGCUAAAUACUACUGAGAAUUACUGGGGCUUCAUAAGAACAAUUUCCCCCCAUUUUAUGACCUUCUGUCUCACCCUACACUACUGGAUCUGACGUCAGCAUCACUUCUGUGUAGCAUUUAUUUUACAAAGCAAAUAUUAGGACUCAUAUUUCUUGCUAAAGUUCAUCACCAUGGGAAGAAGGUCAGCUAGGUAAACUGGUGUGUGUGUGCAUAUGCCAUUACUUUGCACAGUUGCCUUUGCAGAUGUAACUUACUCUGAACAAUGGUUCUUACUGCAAGGUACAUAUGAGAUGUACUGAAUCUUCCCUGCCCUAUUAGGAUAGAAAGAAAAGAAUGUAAUGUAUAGCAAGCAGAUACUGGCAGGUGUUAGGAAGGCUUGCCUAGUGACGAAGACAGUGACAUUCUGUAGUAGGAGGCAGGAACUGGAGGAUGGCCUUCAUUGCCCCUGUUGUUUAGCAAAGACGGGUCAGAGGUGAGAGCGGAGCAACUCAUCCUUUCUCAGAUGAGGGAUGGAAAACCUCCCAGAUCCUUUGCAGCAUUACUUCCUCUGAGACUACGGUGGCUGUAAGUCUUACAGCAGUGUUUUGGUGUUCACUGAUCUGGAAUAAGCACUAAUACAAACACAUAGCAAAGAGCUUUGAUUGCUUGAUUGCCUUUAAUCUCUUCCUAAUUAUCGGUCUCCCUCAGCCAGUGAAUGUGUUUUACAGUGUGUGAUGGGCCCGGCCAGGUUUGGCGUGCUGAAUACCCAGCAGAGACAUCAGGGCUGUAAAGCCCCGUUGUUUUCCAAAUAUCAAGGAGUUCUGAGGCACCAAACACGUCAGUAUUGUUCAUCAGUGGGAAGAUUCCCAAGGACAUGUUUCUAUGCACACUUAAUGACAUGAUGAUCUUCAACCACUAAAAAUAACCUAGAAUUUCUGUUUCUUUCAGCAACCCGGGGUUCCACCGCAACCCAUCUAUCACAGAAGUGUGAAAAUUCAUACGUUACACAUCCCAGAACAGGACCGGUGUUCAUUCCCUCUUUAACCAUGAGUCCUUGUUGUCUUAAUCCCUGGUGCCUAUUUGUAGACCUUGUACCUAUUCGUGGAUAAAAGCAUGACUGUUUAUUUAUAGUGAACUUUUUCCAAAGAGUUUUAUUUUAAAGCCUGACUAAUCUUUGCUGCGCCAUGGACUAGGCUGAUCUCUAGGUAAAUCUUAGCUAAGAUUGGUGGUGAGCUGCACAAAGACACCGACUACGUUUUCAAUUAAUCCUCUUUUAUAUCCACCCUCAGAAGAAGGUAAGGAAGGCACAUAAGGAGCCAGAAGUCAUGUAAUGCUUCUGUGGAACUACAGUGCAGCCUGGAAAGCUGGGGAAAGCCACAAGCAUUUCAUUGUCUCCUGUUUCUUCCCAUGGUAUUUUUAGCAGCUCUGCAACAUAUGGAUUUAUCUGCUCUGCCUGCAAUUAUCCACUGCAUCUCAGAGACAGGAAAAACAUACAUCUGCUUGCUCAGAUUUUCUUACUUUUAUCUUUGCCUCUCCAGCCAGGCUGUUGGGAAAAAAAAAGAGAAGGCCUAUGGGAGAAACACGUAUCAGUCUAUGGAAUGGUGGAGUUUUAGAUGGCUCUUCUCUGUCCUUGACCUUGCAGCUGCUAAAACAGUGUCCCCUUGCCUUGUAGUGGUGAUAUUGGCUAUUGCAGGUGCUGGGGAGGAGCUAGAAGAAAGGUGAGGGUCACCUGGCCAUUGUGCAGUGAACAGGUCGGAACUGUUCAGUGCCAGGGAGGUCCCAAAGGCAGAAAUGCCUCCUCAGAACCCCACCACAGCAGCCAUGUGAGUAUGGGGAGGGCCAUGGUGAGGGCACACUGCACACUCCCUGUGUCCUGAAGUGAAAACCUAAGCCUUGGAUUAACCCUGGCUGAGUAGAGGUUGAGCACCAAAUAUGUUUUCCUAAUCCAUGCUGGAGAAAUGGGCACUUGGAAAAUGGGGGAGCUCUGACAAGAACUUCCCAUUUCACUUUCCCAAUUUCAGUCUCAAGCCCAGACCUCUGGGCAUUAGCUCCCUGUUGUGCUCUGCUCUGCACACAGUGUGAACACAGUCUUCAUUUUUCCAAGUAGGGGCUGCUUAUGAGCAGACACUGCAAAAUCAAGUUUGGCAUCUUCUGCCCCAAGCUUAAAUUAGUCUUCCUCUCCUUUCCCUGUUCUGGAGGGAAGAAAAGGAAUACAAGUAUAUAAAACCACUGGAGACCACAUUUUAGUGAAAUGAUAGUUAGAUGUACUAUUCAGCUCGAGAUGUUUAUUGAAUGUCUGAACAGGAGAACACUUCAUAAAUACAAAUAAACGUCUCUAGAAAUAUUUGAAUUAAUUUUAUAAACAAGGCUCUGGCUGUAGCAUCUUGCUCCUUUUGUGGGGUGAAUUUGAGACUUUACAUCCCCUGCCCAACGGCCCCAACACCCUUGUGGGAGAAAUCCAGCAAGCAGGGCAGGACUCAGCACUGCCGACCCACAGAGCCCUGUGCCACCCACUGUCCUGGGGGGUCACUAGGCCUCUGCAGGCUGAAUGACAAGAAGUAGGUGUCAGGGAAGGGUGGGGAAUAGCAAAGAGCAGCACUGCUUUUGCUACCAUCAGAACUCUUGGGGCGUGUGGUAAUUCUCUAUUUUUGUCUCAGCCAUGAAGCAAUCAAUGACUGUGUCCAAAUCAGCAUGCUGAGCACAUCAGAGUUCGGGGCCUUUCCCACUCACCAGCACACAGUUGCAUUAGCCAGCCUUCAGGAGGCCUGUUACAUCCUGCCCUGAGGGAUGAAUGGUAACAAGCACAGAGCAGGCAGAAAUUACGUAGUAUUCCUAAGCCAUGAGGAUUUUCAUGAAAGCUUACUUCUUUUUUUUUGCUUUUUCUUUGUUUUUCUUUCUUUCCAUUUUUUUUCCCCAUUUAAUUUGUAAUGCUUGUUUUUUUUCAGUCACAAGGAAGAAGAAGUUGGCCUUGAAUAUUCCUGAAUCAUGAUUCCAUCUGAGUUUACUGAAUAGCCAUAUCUGCCAAGCAGAGACCGCCUGCUCAUGCUAUAGCCCUGCUCCACAGGCCAGGCCUAUCCCUGCCCAUCCCUGCAGCCUGGAUGUUUUCAGUGGAUUACAUUUCAGGAUUGCUCCCUGGCUGGAGUAAAUACCCACCCCUUCCCACUUCCCACCACUCACUGCACUCUACACCAGGAAGAAAUAUUUUCUUUCCUGCUAAAGAGCAUCUUUUGUACAGCGGUGCAGAUGACAGAGUCAUAGAAUCCUAAAAUCACCCAAGUUGGAAGGAAUCCAUAAGUAUCAAGUCCAACUCUUGAUGAAAAAAUGGGAGACAAGCAGUUGUCCUCCCUGCUGCUAGGCACACUGAGUAUGCUGUGCUUCCUGGUGGAAGCUCUCAAGACCAGAGGACAACAGGACACCGCUGCAGAAAAAGAAAGACUGGGUGUUCUUAUUCUCCAUUAGUGCCUUUGGACCUCCCUCCUCUCCAAGAAAGCUCUAAUCCAGGUGCCUAGUAAGUUGUCAGCCCAAUUCCCUGGGAAAGCAGGCUGUGUGCCUUGAGAUAUGCUGGAAUGAUUUGUCCAGUCUGUCCAUUAAAGGUUUAAGGAACUUACCUUCCAUUAAAACCCCUUACAAUUUAUGCAACAGUCUAAUGAAUCUUGCCAUUAAUAUAUAUAUAUAUAUUAUACAUAUAUAUAUAUAUAUAUGCCAUUAAUAUAUAUAUUGGAUUUUUUUUUUUCCAGUAAAUUCAAGCUCAUUUUCCCCCUUUUUUUAUCUGAAUAUUCCCAACUGUAUCUCACAGGGACCAGGCAAAUUAAUUUCCUUCCUUUCCUGAUGGUACCUACACUGGUCCCAACCUACAGCAGUGCAUCUCAGCUCUUCCUUACAACUUCCACCAAAAUCACAGCUUUUCCUUCCCAUGGAAAUAAAGGCAAAGGCUGGUGCUGCUUUUUGUUCCUAUUUCAGUGGCAUUGCACAGAAAACGUACUUCUAACAAAAACCUGACAAAAAGCAAGACUCUGUGCUUUGAGCAUUACGUUUCUCAAGAAGCCUGCUGUGCUGCUGCUCAUUUGGGGGCAGUUGCUUGGCCCAACCUGCUCCCAGCUUUUCUGCUUGAUCGAAGUCCACGAUCCCCUCCAAAAUGGGAUCAUACGUUUACUUUUACAAAGCUGCAGAGAAGCACAAUCUGGCUGGAACUGCUGCCAAAAAAAGCUGCCUCCUCUUCAGUUUACUGCUUUUCCCAGAAAUGAUCAAGGCACCUGCCAGGUGUGCCAGCAAAGCAAGGCACCCCACAGCUCUGAUUUCCUGGCUUUAUCUUUUUCCAGUGGACUCAUUAAGAGACUGUGAUGGACAGCCAGACAGAUACUGCUCACGCCUGCUUGGCUGAUGGGGUUAUAGUAUCUGCCCUAGACCAUCAGCUUUGCUUUUCAAACCCUGCACAUGAAACCUGCCUUUUGUCUUAUUCCUGCACAUCAAAGCCUAGCUGGAGCGUGAAGAGAAGAAGAGAAAGCUGUGGAAAAUUGGCAUUAACAAAGGCAAGCAGAAGGUCAAGCCUCUGCUGAUACAAAUGGACAGAACUGCACAGAAGUCAGCAGAGUGAUGACCACUGAACACGAGCAGAAAAUAAAUCUCACUGCCUGCAACGUCUCCUGCCUGAGGGAAAGUCGCAAUAAAUACUCUUCAUUUC
Molecule: long non-coding RNA, 12201 nt
Organism: Gallus gallus (chicken)
Lineage: Eukaryota; Metazoa; Chordata; Aves; Galliformes; Phasianidae
Exons: 6
Source: RefSeq, a predicted model, not a curated record